GAUGAACGCUGGCGGCGUGCCUAACACAUGCAAGUCGAGCGAAAAGACGAGGAGCUUGCGGCUCUGACGUUAGGGGAGGGGGGGAGAGAAACACGUGGAAAACCUACCUAUAAGACGGGGAAAACUUCGGAAAACGGGCGCUAACACCGGAGAAUAUAUUGAACCGCAGGGUGGAAUAGUGAAAGACGGCGUUGCUGGCAGGUAUAGAUGGAUCCGCGCCGCUUUAGCUAGUUGGGAAGGUAAAGGCUUAUCAAGGCAACGAUGCGUAGCCGACGUGGGGGGGUGAUCGGCCACACUGGAGCUGAGCCACGCUCCAGACUCCUACGGGACGCAGCAGUCGGGUAUCUUCCGCAGUGGGCGAAAGCCUGACGGAGCAGCGCCGCGUGAGUGAUGAAGGUCUUCGGAUCGUAAAGCUCUGUUAUUAGUUAAGAACAAAUGUGUAAGUAACUAUGCACGUCUUGACGGUACCUAAUCAGAAAGCCCCGGCUAACUACGUG
Molecule: ribosomal RNA, 497 nt
Filed under: uncultured bacterium
Lineage: Bacteria
Description: partial 16S ribosomal RNA
Rfam family: Bacterial small subunit ribosomal RNA
Source: RNAcentral